UACGUAUGGUGCAAGCGUUGUCCGGAUUUACUGGGUGUAAGGGGCGUGCAGCCGGGCUGACAAGUCAGAUGUGAAAUCCCGCGGCUCAACCGCGGAACUGCAUUUGAAACUGUCAGUCUUGAGUACCGGAGAGGUCAUCGGAAUUCCUUGUGUAGCGGUGAAAUGCGUAGAUAUAAGGAAGAACACCAGUGGCGAAGGCGGAUGACUGAACGGCAACUGACGGUGAGGCGCGAAAGCGUGGGGAGCAAACAGG
Molecule: ribosomal RNA, 253 nt
Filed under: uncultured bacterium
Lineage: Bacteria
Description: partial 16S ribosomal RNA
Rfam family: Bacterial small subunit ribosomal RNA
Source: RNAcentral